Molecule: ribosomal RNA, 356 nt
Filed under: Vibrio parahaemolyticus
Lineage: Bacteria; Pseudomonadati; Pseudomonadota; Gammaproteobacteria; Vibrionales; Vibrionaceae
Description: partial 23S ribosomal RNA
Rfam family: Bacterial large subunit ribosomal RNA
Source: RNAcentral
GCACUUUGUGCAUUGGGUAGGGGAGCGUUCUGUAAGCGGUUGAAGGUGUGUGGUAACGCAUGCUGGACGUAUCAGAAGUGCGAAUGCUGACAUGAGUAACGAUAAAGGGGGUGAAAAACCUCCUCGCCGGAAGACCAAGGGUUCCUGUCCAACGUUAAUCGGGGCAGGGUAAGUCGACCCCUAAGGCGAGGCCGAAAGGCGUAGUCGAUGGGAAACGGGUUAAUAUUCCCGUACUUCUUACAAUUGCGAUGGGGGGACGGAGAAGGCUAGGUGGGCCUGGCGACGGUUGUCCAGGUUCAAGUGCGUAGGCUUAAGAGUUAGGUAAAUCCGGCUCUUUUUAAGGCUGAGACACGACG